GACGAACGCUGGCGGCGUGCUUAACACAUGCAAGUCGAGCGGUAAGGCCCUUUCGGGGGUACACGAGCGGCGAACGGGUGAGUAACACGUGGGUGACCUGCCCUCAGCUCUGGGAUAAGCCUGGGAAACCGGGUCUAAUACUGGAUAUGACUCCAUGACGCAUGUUGUGGGGUGGAAAGCCUUGUGCGGCUGAGGAUGGGCCCGCGGCCUAUCAGCUUGUUGGUGGGGUGAGGCCUACCAAGGCGACGACGGGUAGCCGGCCUGAGAGGGCGACCGGCCACACUGGGACUGAGACACGGCCCAGACUCCUACGGGAGGCAGCAGUGGGGAAUCUUGCGCAAUGGGCGAAAGCCUGACGCAGCGACGCCGCGUGAGUGAUGAAGGCCUUAGGGUGUAAAGCUCUUUUACCCGGGAAGAUAUGACGGUACCGGGAGAAUAAGCCCCGGCUAACUUCGUGCCAGCCGCCGCCGUAAG
This 474-nucleotide ribosomal RNA is filed under the name uncultured bacterium. Its description in RNAcentral is "bacterial SSU rRNA". It matches the Rfam family "Bacterial small subunit ribosomal RNA", at positions 28 to 524 of the family's 1533-position model. The record is from RNAcentral.